ACGGAGGGUGCAAGCGUUAUCCGGAUUCACUGGGUUUAAAGGGUGCGUAGGUGGGCUAGUAAGUCCGUGGUGAAAUCCCCGAGCUUAACUUGGGAACUGCCAUUGAUACUAUUAGUCUUGAAUAUCGUGGAGGUAAGCGGAAUAUGUCAUGUAGCGGUGAAAUGCUUAGAUAUGACAUAGAACACCAAUUGCGAAGGCAGCUUGCUACACGGUCAUUGACACUGAGGCACGAAAGCGUGGGGAGCAAACAG
Molecule: ribosomal RNA, 251 nt
Filed under: uncultured prokaryote
Description: partial 16S rRNA
Rfam family: Bacterial small subunit ribosomal RNA
Source: RNAcentral